CUAUCUGCAGUCGUGGGGCAGCAGGGUGUAGCAAUACAUCGCUGGCGACCGGCAAACGGGUGCGCAAAACGUACGCAACCUUCCUUCGAGCGGGGAAUAGCCCAGGGAAACUUGGAUUAAUACCCCAUAAUAUAAUGAAGAGGCAUCUUUUUAUUAUUAAAGCUCCGGCACUUGAAGAUGGGCGUACGGCUGAUUAGGUAGUUGGCGGGGUAACGGCCCACCAAGCCUGCGAUCAGUAGCUGAUGUGAGAGCAUGAUCAGCCACACGGGCACUGAGACACGGGCCCGACUCCUACGGGAGGCAGCAGUAAGGAAUAUUGGUCAAUGGACGCAAGUCUGAACCAGCCAUGCCGCGUGGAGGAUGACGGUCCUCUGGAUUGUAAACUUCUUUUAUCUGGGACGAAACACUCCUAUUCUUAGGGGCCUGACGGUACCAGAUGAAUAAGCACCGGCUAACUCCGUGCCAG
Molecule: ribosomal RNA, 466 nt
Filed under: uncultured bacterium
Lineage: Bacteria
Description: bacterial SSU rRNA
Rfam family: Bacterial small subunit ribosomal RNA
Source: RNAcentral